UACGGAGGGGGCUAGCGUUGUUCGGAAUUACUGGGCGUAAAGCGCGCGUAGGCGGACCUGCAAGUCGAGGGUGAAAGCCCGAGGCUCAACCUCGGAACUGCCUUCGAUACUGCGGGUCUCGAGUCCGGGAGAGGUGAGUGGAAUUCCUAGUGUAGAGGUGAAAUUCGUAGAUAUUAGGAAGAACACCAGUGGCGAAGGCGGCUCACUGGCCCGGUACUGACGCUGAGGCGCGAAAGCGUGGGGAGCAAACAGG
Molecule: ribosomal RNA, 253 nt
Filed under: uncultured bacterium
Lineage: Bacteria
Description: partial 16S ribosomal RNA
Rfam family: Bacterial small subunit ribosomal RNA
Source: RNAcentral